RNAcentral lists this transfer RNA (72 nucleotides) under Caudoviricetes sp. RNAcentral describes it as "tRNA-Gln". It matches the Rfam family "tRNA". From Rfam's summary of the family: Transfer RNA (tRNA) molecules are approximately 80 nucleotides in length. Their secondary structure includes four short double-helical elements and three loops (D, anti-codon, and T loops). The record is from RNAcentral. Lineage: Duplodnaviria; Heunggongvirae; Uroviricota; Caudoviricetes.
UGCGUCAUAGCCAAGUGGUAAGGCAGCUGACUUUGACUCAGCCAUACGCAAGUUCGAUCCUUGCUGGCGCAA